This 484-nucleotide ribosomal RNA is filed under the name uncultured bacterium. RNAcentral's name for it is "partial 16S ribosomal RNA". It matches the Rfam family "Bacterial small subunit ribosomal RNA", at positions 28 to 507 of the family's 1533-position model. The record is from RNAcentral.
GUUGAACGCUGGCGGCAGGCCUAACACAUGCAAGUCGAGCGAAUGAAGGGAGCUUGCUCCUGGAUUCAGCGGCGGACGGGUGAGUAAUGCCUAGGAAUCUGCCUGGUAGUGGGGGAUAACGUCCGGAAACGGGCGCUAAUACCGCAUACGUCCUGAGGGAGAAAGUGGGGGAUCUUCGGACCUCACGCUAUCAGAUGAGCCUAGGUCGGAUUAGCUAGUUGGUGGGGUAAAGGCCUACCAAGGCGACGAUCCGUAACUGGUCUGAGAGGAUGAUCAGUCACACUGGAACUGAGACACGGUCCAGACUCCGACGGGAGGCAGCAGUGGGGAAUAUUGGACAAUGGGCGAAAGCCUGAUCCAGCCAUGCCGCGUGUGUGAAGAAGGUCUUCGGAUUGUAAAGCACUUUAAGUUGGGAGGAAGGGCAGUAAGUUAAUACCUUGCUGUUUUGACGUUACCAACAGAAUAAGCACCGGCUAACUUCGUG